UGCGACCUCCGGUUAGGUGAGACUACCCGCUGAAUUUAAGCAUAUUAAUAAGCGGAGGAAAAGAACU
This 67-nucleotide ribosomal RNA is filed under the name Paractenodia parva. RNAcentral's name for it is "partial 28S ribosomal RNA". It matches the Rfam family "Eukaryotic large subunit ribosomal RNA", at positions 1 to 65 of the family's 3401-position model. Lineage: Eukaryota; Metazoa; Arthropoda; Insecta; Coleoptera; Meloidae. The record is from RNAcentral.